UGAGGAAUAUUGGUCAAUGGGCGAGAGCCUGAACCAGCCAAGUAGCGUGCAGGAUGACGGCCCUAUGGGUUGUAAACUGCUUUUAUGUGGGGAUAAAGUGCGCGACGUGUCGUGCAUUGCAGGUACCACAUGAAUAAGGACCGGCUAAUUCCGUGCCAGCAGCCGCGGUAAUACGGAAGGUCCAGGCGUUAUCCGGAUUUAUUGGGUUUAAAGGGAGCGUAGGCUGUCUAUUAAGCGUGUUGUGAAAUUUACCGGCUCAACCGGUGGCUUGCAGCGCGAACUGGUCGACUUGAGUAUGCAGGAAGUAGGCGGAAUUCAUGGUGUAGCGGUGAAAUGCUUAGAUAUCAUGAGGAACUCCGAUUGCGAAGGCAGCUUGCUGCAGUGCGACUGACGCUUAGGCUCGAAGGUGCGGGUAUCAAACAGGAUUAGAUACCCUGGUAGUCCGCACGGUAAACGAUGGAUGCCCGCUGUCCGCCCAUUCGUGGCGGGUGGCCAAGCGAAAGCGUUAAGCAUCCCACCUGGGGAGUACGCCGGCAACGGUGAAACUCAAAGGAAUUGACGGGGGCCCGCACAAGCGGAGGAACAUGUGGUUUAAUUCGAUGAUACGCGAGGAACCUUACCCGGGCUUGAACUGCCGGCGAACGAUACAGAGAUGUUGAGGCCCUUCGGGGCGCCGGUGGAGGUGCUGCAUGGUUGUCGUCAGCUCGUGCCGUGAGGUGUCGGCUUAAGUGCCAUAACGAGCGCAACCCCUCUCUUCAGUUGCCAUCAGGUGAUGCUGGGCACUCUGGAGACACUGCCACCGCAAGGUGUGAGGAAGGUGGGGAUGACGUCAAAUCAGCACGGCCCUUACGUCCGGGGCUACACACGUGUUACAAUGGGGCAUACAGAACGUCGGUUCAA
RNAcentral lists this ribosomal RNA (900 nucleotides) under uncultured bacterium. RNAcentral's name for it is "bacterial SSU rRNA". It matches the Rfam family "Bacterial small subunit ribosomal RNA", at positions 355 to 1255 of the family's 1533-position model. The record is from RNAcentral.